AAUUGGGAAGUAUAAAAUUUAAAAAUUGCUGUUUAUGUAAUUUGUUAAAAUGAAGGAAAAUGUAAUUCAUGUCAAUACAAAUUGGUAUACAAGACACCUAACAUUAGCGAUAACUUCACGUUACAUUAGUAUUAACAACGGGUGCAGUGUUUGUCAUUCGUAUAUUGUUGGUUUUUAAUAUUUAAGGUCGCUUAAUGUUAUUAAAAUAUGAUCUUCCACCAUAGAUUAUUACGCACGUGUAUUUGUUUUUAAACUCUACUGUAAAUUGUAGUUUCUAUCGCAUGAAAUGUUGACUUUAACCUCAAUUUAUUAAGUUCUAUGUGGACGAUCAAGGGAAUUAUUCAUACUAAUCUGAAAUGAGUGAUAAUCAUUAACUGUGUGCGUGUGCUGGAAGUGGACAAAGAAGUAAAAUUUCAACAAUUAGUGAGCAAUAGUAAGUGGGUAGAACAAUAUAGAAAGAAAAGGACUGAAAUAAGGAAAAGAAAAAGAAACGCGGCACUACUGAUAAUUACGAUUAUGUGCAACUCCAUCACUUUCGUAUGAAACUUAACAGGGAAACAGUGUGGAUCAUAUUGCAGUCAUAUUCAUAAUGGAUUUUAAAUAAACGUAGAGGGUAGAAAAUGUCGAUCUGUAAAAAAAGAUUCACGUGGGGGACCUGUUCAAGAUUCGAACUCGGAUUUCAUCUAUACCAAGGGCGCUAUACACUGCGCCAUUAAACCCCACCGAUCUCCCUUAUUUUUCCGGGUCCUUUCUCUCACUGGAUUCGCCUAUAGGAGGCGCUUCCAAUAAUCAGUACGAAGAAGAACGUACGAGUGAAACGAUGUUGUAACUAACGGCCAAAAUGGAAGAGCAAAGCGUUCAUAGCAGUAUCAGUGAUAUAAAUAGUGAAGAGGCAGUUAGAAGUGAGCCUGUGAUUAUACCACGCAAAAAAAGGAUAUGCCUGAUCGGUGAAACUUGCGACGAUGCUGCACUGGGCGUAGCUGCCCAGCAGUUUUGUGUGCCUGUUCUUAAAUCGGAAACAGGUUUAGAAUAUAUAGAAGAUACAACAUAUUGUACUUACUUCGUAUUGAAACAAUUUGAGGGACCUGAAUAUGAUGAUCUUCAUAAAAGUGCCCAUAGAAUAUUGGGACCGACGGCACUUCUGCAGUUGGCAGAAAGGAAGGACUCGCUACCUAGUAUUAAUAGACCAAUGUAUACACAAGCUAUGGUAGGCACGGUAGUAGUAUUUACUGGAUUUAGAAAAAAGGAUGAAUUGACCAAGUUGAUCAACAUGAUUCAUAAUAUGGGUGGAAGUAUUAGAAAGGAGAUGGGAGCAAAGGUGACGCAUCUCAUUGCUAAUUGUUGUGGCGGUGAUAAGUAUAGAUAUGCUGUUACAUUUCGGGUGCCUAUAAUGUCAAUGGAUUGGGUAACAGCUUUAUGGAAUGCCAAAGACGAUAUUUCUAACUAUGGAAAUAAUGAAGAUCUGAUCACAACUUAUAAAUUAAAACCAUUUUUUGGUGCAAAAGUAUGCUUCUUUGGUUUCCCUGACGAAGAAAAACGUCACAUGUGUGAAGUUCUUCAACAACAAGGUGGUGAAUCUACAGAAAUUGAUGAUCCAAAUUGUACACAUGUGGUUGUGGAUGAAUCAAAUGUAAAUGCAUUACCGGAUUUAGCUUCUGUGAGAGCUCAUAUUGUAAAAGCUGAAUGGUUUUGGACAUCUGUACAAAAUGAGGGCGCAGCUGAUGAGAAGGAGUAUUUAUUCGAAGAUUACUUGGAGUCUGUUUUAUCGCCAACUAUAUCAGCUAGACGAGAUAGUCAACAAACUACAACUCCGAGUACAGCGUCUACAAGACGAAAACGUAAACGUUUAGCAGAAACUUUAUCUAGUUUGGUUCAGAAUGGUGCAGAUUCACCAGCCUUGCAUAAGAGACGAUCCAGUAUCAGUGAUGCAGGACUUUUAAGUGUUAGUGGAAGUUUCCUUGAUUGCACAGCAAGUCCAGAUAAACCAUUACUCGAUGAUAUUCCAGAAGUGGAAGCUGUUAACACAGAUACCUCUAGGAAAAAUUUAUCACCCCGACAUCAAGUUUUUUUAGAAUUAGUACAAACGGAAUCAAAUUACGUUGGCAUUCUCAGUACAAUUAUGACGUUGUUUAAGUCACCAUUAGAAGAUCUCAUAGAUACAAGUGGCGAGUUAUUAAAUGGCACAGAAGCUAAAAUUAUAUUUGGUAAUUUUCCACCCAUUUAUGAAGUUCAUAAAAAAAUGUUAGAAGAAUUAAAAUAUAGUGCUACACAUUGGAUGGAGGACAUUAGCAUAGGUAAUAUAUUUCUGAAGUUUGCACCUGACUUAGUCAAGGCAUACCCAUCGUAUGUCAAUUUCUUCGAAAAUACAAAGGAGAUGCUCGAUCAGUGUGAUCAAAACAAACCAAGAUUUCACGCUUUUCUGAAAGUUUGUCAGACAAAACCUGAAUGUGGUCGACAAAGUUUAAAGGAGUUAUUGAUCAAGCCAGUACAAAGGUUACCCAGUAUUAGUUUAUUAUUAAAUGAUAUCCUUAAACAUACAAAUAAAAAUAAUCCAGAUCACAGCGCAUUGGAAUUGUCAAUUAGCAGUAUUAAGGAAGUCAUGACGUAUAUAAAUGAAGAUAAAAGAAAAACUGAGGGCCAAUUAGUUAUGUUCGACAUUUUCAAUGAAAUUGACAACUGUCCACCGCAUUUAGUUUCUUCACAUCGAUCAUUUAUUGGAAAAUGUGAUGUGAUGGAACUUAGUGAAGGUUUAAGCGGGCGUGGUGAUCAUUUAGUUUUGUUCCUGUUUUCUGAUACACUUGAAAUAUGUAAGAAAAGGUCAAAAGCCUUUAAUUCAUUAAAGAGUCCUAAUACAGCAAAUGGAUUUCAUACAGCUAAAUUAAGUCAAGGCAAACCAUAUAAACAUAUCAAGAUGUUAUCAUUAAGUACAAUAAAAAAGGUUGUUGAUAUACGAGAAACUGACGAAUGUCAUAAAGUAUUUGCUUUAACGGUGAGAAGUAAUCAAGAGUUAAAAGAAAAACUGUUUUCAUUUACAAUCACUGACGAAGAAGUAAAUAAGACAAAUUAUUUACGGACUUUGUGCAGACAAAUGGCUAAUACAGUAUGCAAAGCUGAUGCGGAUACGUUCCUGAUCAGUCUUGAUUCGCAUCAGCUUCAAAUUGACACAAGUGAUGUAGCAUUAGGAACAUUAAGUAAAGCAUUUAAGAGCCUAUUUCAUAAUUUUUACCUGGAGUAUAUGGACCCGUAUGUGUUCCUACUCAAUAGCAUGUGUGAAACCACGUUACAUGUCCCACUACCGUUUGCAUCUCGCACAAGGAUGAAAGUUGGCAGAGCGUUUAGUUUUAACAAAACCCCGAGUAAAUUGAAAAGAGCAAUGUCAACGAUGAUGUCGCCAUUUGGAUCAACUAACAGCCUUACUCCAGCAAGUCAACAACUUGCACAGAUGCGGCUUGCUAGUUGCAACAAUAUUAAUGAGCUGGGUAAUAGUGGUUCAAGUUCGCCAUCUAGAGAUGAUGUUCUAGUAGCACCCAUGUCGGUUCAACCGACACGAAAGGCCAAAUGCAGUUCCCUCACUAUGACUCCAUUAAGAAGGUUGUAAUUAGUGUCAGAAGCAAUGCAUUUUUGUUUUUGCUACUAUUGCAUAACCACAUUUGGUCAACUUUCUCAUUGUUAAUAAAUUGUUCAGAGGAAGUCAUGCAGGACAAAUCCGAGCUUUGAAGUGCAGGGUAUGAUAAUGUGCAAUUGAGUCAUACCUUUUUCUUUGGCGUCAAUGAAAAGCCUACAUGAAAAAGUAGAGAGGAUCGGAAACGUUUAUGGAAAGAUGAGUUUUUAUAAUAUGAUCAUAGUGUUGAUCUUGGAAAUCCACGAAUGUGUAAAAUAUUCAUGUAAAGGGCAGACACAAGAAAGAUGCCGUCUGUAAAUUACUAUAUAUGAAUUAAAAUGUUCUACUUGCCAUGUGCCAACAGAACCACAUGUGUUUUAUAAGGAAAAUGUACAUUGCCAGUUAUUCUUUAAGAAGUUACAACUAUAUGUUAACGAUGUACCGUAUUUAAUACCGUAUCGAUCGUUAAUUUUGAUAUAUGACAUUCAGAUAAUUCAAGUGCUUGCCUCAGGAAGACAGAUGGAAUUGGAUUUACAGAAAGUAAAAGGACAUUAGAUUUCCAGUGCUAUAAUACAAAUCUUACUAUGAUACACCUUUUAUAAGAAAUGAAAGUACGAAUAUUAUUUUUGUGCCAUUUAAUUUUAUCGUAUAAGGUACAUUUAGAAUUUAUUAGAGCGUUAGAGACAAUUUGUGCUCCGUUAAAGAGAAAAAAAGAAAUGUGCAACGUUAAUUCAUUAAAUUAAUAUUAACUAUACAUUUCUUACAUAAGCUUUAAUUCAACUGCCAUGUUUAAUACCAUUGCAGUUUUAAUUCAUGAGUGUAAAUUGCAAUAAUUCACUAUGGCUUCAUCAUCCUCAUUAUUGUUAUCUUUAUUCAGAUUAAUUUGCUUUGAUUUUCAUUUCUCUCAUUAGAAUUGUGUACGGUAUAGUGCCACUGGAAAUUGUAGUUCUGUUAAAAGCAAAUGUAUAUUGUAGUAUGUUUAUUUCUUUUUUAUAACUGUGUAAUUGCAUUAGAAUAAGAUUUUCAAAGGGAUUAUACGAUGAUAUGGUGAAAGAAAAUUAGAUUUGAAACGCGUUAAUAUCGAGACUUCUUCUAAAUAAUCUACCAUGUAAUAUGAAAUAGUUGUAAAAAGUCAUAAUUUAUUAUAGUAAACGCCACUCGACUGGCAUAUCGAAGCUAUUCUGCUUAUACCGAUGUCUAUUUCACUUUUCUGUGCAACGCUCGAAACAAAAAAGGCAGCGAUAUAGGCAGAGUGGCCUUGGCAGACUAAUUUGCAAUGGCGAUUACUAUAACAUUACAUUGCUAUUACUUUGUUUAAUUCUCCAAUUAUACGCUUAUUGUAAUUGCUGACUUUAUAAAAAUUUACAUUCAAAUAUGUAGUUGAUCACUUAGAUUAUAAUCUAUUCUGAUGUCUACAUUUCAAAUGCAUAAAUGUUUAUGUUUUUAUUAAAUACGAAGUAUAUUUCAUUAAUUCGACCACAGGUCUGAAGUAUUCGUAUAGCCGUUUAUAUGUUUUUCAAUUAUAUUAAUCGUAUAUGUGAUUUAUAAUAAUGUAAAUCUUCUUAAAAUAUUCGAUUAUCGAGCAGCGUGAACGAUUGUGCGAUUCAUAAUAAAUAUAAAAAUAGAAUAUUGGUACAAAAUCAAAAUCACUAUUUUCUGUGUCGUAAUGUUUUUGGAUGCACAAUAACUGUUUCUAGCAUAUUAUAAUACUAUAUCUAGAACUACAUUUUAUCCAUAGUAUAAAAGAAAUAUUUGUAAAUAUUUCAGCUCAAAGAGCAGUUUAUUAAAGGAACAUAUCACAAGAUUUGGAAGAUAUUUGUCAUAUCGUUAAAAAAAGUGAAAAGCAAAUCAUAGUUUGAAGUAUUUCUCUCGGUAACCACAAAGAAUUUAAAUAGUUUCUUAUUUCGAUUGUAAAUAAAAUCUCUCUGAAUAUAUAAAUUUUUCUUUCUCUGAACAUUAAUCAAAUAUUAUGAUAAUUGUGGUAUGACAAAGUUACUUUUAUAUUAGUUUAAUCAUUUUGAAAUUUUCUUGCGCAAAGAUUAAAUUUUGAAUGAUUAAGUUAUAAAAUUAAUAAAAUUUAUUUCUGCCAUAUUAUAAAAGAAACAUUAAGGUGUCAAAUUGUCAGAUUUAGUUAAAACUUGUGUCGCAGAAAAUAAAUAUGUGAUGCGUGUAAAGGUACAAGAGAUACAAUAUACUAUUUUUACACACAAAAUAUUACCAAUCAAUACAAUAAACAAAUUGAUCGAUUGUAUGGAUUUAAUAGUAUGUAUGUAACUUGUUGAUAAUUUAAAUAUAAUAUUUGGAAGAGUAUUGUUUCAUGAAACAUAAGCGUCAAUUAUAUUUGAAGUCCUUGUGGAUUUAAUAAUGAAAUGUACUCUUUGCAAUCUUUUCUCGUGUCCAAUAAUCAGUUUAAUUGCCUUUAACGUUAACGAGAAUACAAAGAAUUGAUCAGUAAUAUUCUCGUUCAAUUGACACGAUGAUUCAAAUUGAAAGAUUGCAAGGAAUAUAAACGAAAUGUUGUUAAUUCUUUACAAGGAUUCACCGAAGUUCGUGCCUCAUUAACACUUCUGCAAAAUAUCUAUUUAAGUAAUGUGCCUUCUCAUGAAAAGGACCAUUAAAUACAAAAAUUUUCUCAAUGUUUGGUGUGAGAGAUAAGAAAAAAUCCAUAGAUGAUAUUUUUGUAAUUCUUCAUUUAGCACUCGAAGUGCGUUCUUGCGCGUAAUUACGGAUGCUCUGGCAGUACUUCGUAUCUCGAUUUUUAACUUAUAUUAGAUUUUUAAGGUUUCAGUGUCACCGUUCCAAUGUUUGAUUUCUAUGAAACGGUCUUUUGAUCUUCUGACGAGGCGAACAGCAUCUUCUUAGCACAGUCCAUGGACAAAUAAAAAAUAUAAAAAUAUCUUACAAAACAAUAGAACAUUGGUUGCCCAAUUUAUUUAUAUAAAGACACAUUUGUUAGAAUUAUUUGUCGUAAAAUAUGUAAUUAAUGAGAAAAAAGGUGCACGAAGGUUUUAACUUUUUUGCAGUAAUGGCAUUAGCAGUGAAUUUCAGAAAAGUACCAGUUGAGUUCGGAAUUUAUUUCUGAUAUAUUUUUAUAAAGUCCAUGGACUGUGAUAAAUAUCCUAAUAUUUUAUAACUGUCACAUGUUUGGUAAAUAGUCAAUGUCUCGAUGUUACGGUCAUGGAACUAUUUUUACAUUUGGACUCGUUGAGUUUUACGAACUAGAUGUUCAGCGUCUACUCCCAUAAGGACGGGAAAGAGUACUGUAUAUAUUACCGUUAAGUACCAUGUAAGUGUAGUAUAGCGCAAAAUGAUGUUUUUUACUACACGCGUAAAAAUAUUAUAAUACUUGUAUUUUGUGUAUAGUCGUUACUAUUUAUAUGAUACUGUAAUUGAUUG
RNA transcript from Colletes gigas, 6997 nucleotides. It is a transcript of the gene named protein ECT2, with no coding region annotated. The record is from RefSeq and is a predicted model, not a curated record. Lineage: Eukaryota; Metazoa; Arthropoda; Insecta; Hymenoptera; Colletidae. The transcript has 17 exons.